This 381-nucleotide ribosomal RNA is filed under the name uncultured eukaryote. RNAcentral's name for it is "partial 18S ribosomal RNA". It matches the Rfam family "Eukaryotic small subunit ribosomal RNA", at positions 592 to 975 of the family's 1831-position model. The record is from RNAcentral.
CAAUAGCGUAUAUUAAAGUUGUUGCAGUUAAAAAGCUCGUAGUUGGAUUUCUGGUUGGAGCGACCGGUCGGGCAUUGAUUUGUCUGCACUGGAGUCGGUUCCGUCCAUCCUCCUGGAAAGUGCGUAUGGCAUUAAGUUGUCGUGCGUAUGAUCCAGGUCUUUUACUGUGAAAAAAUUAGAGUGUUUAAAGCAGGCCUUCGCCUUGAAUACAUUAGCAUGGAAUAAUAAGAUAGGACUUGGGUCUAUUUUGUUGGUUUGCAGACCGAAGUAAUGAUUAAUAGGGAUAGUUGGGGGUAUUUAUAUUCCGAUGUCAGAGGUGAAAUUCUUAGAUUUUCGGAAGAUAAACUUAUGCGAAAGCAUUUACCAAGGAUGUUUUCAUUA